UAUUGGGCAAUGGGGGAAACCCUGACCCAGCAACGCCGCGUGAAGGAAGAAGGUUUUCGGAUUGUAAACUUCUGUCCUUGGUGAAGAGAAGAAGACGGUAGCCAAGGAGGAAGCCCCGGCUAACUACGUGCCAGCAGCCGCGGUAAUACGUAGGGGGCAAGCGUUGUCCGGAAUGAUUGGGCGUAAAGGGCGCGUAGGCGGCUUUAUAAGUCUGGAGUGAAAGUCCUCUUUUCAAGGGAGGAAUUGCUUUGGAAACUAUAGAGCUUGAGUGCAGGAGAGGUUAUCGGAAUUCCCGGUGUAGCGGUGAAAUGCGUAGAUAUCGGGAGGAACAUCGGUGGCGAAGGCGGGUAACUGGACUGCAACUGACGCUGAGGCGCGAAAGUGCGGGGAGCAAACAGG
Molecule: ribosomal RNA, 399 nt
Filed under: uncultured bacterium
Lineage: Bacteria
Description: bacterial SSU rRNA
Rfam family: Bacterial small subunit ribosomal RNA
Source: RNAcentral